GAGGCGGUAUCGGUUAGACGAACUGCACUCCCCGAAAUGAUGAGACGGAAUGCCUCUUUCUUAUGAGGAAGGCGCAGGAAGUUUCUUCUUGUAACUGUAGUGACGGUUACGUUGGAUUCUGCUCUGAGCCGCAAGGACCGAGACAGAAGG
Non-coding RNA from Paenibacillus sabinae T27, 150 nucleotides. Lineage: Bacteria; Bacillati; Bacillota; Bacilli; Caryophanales; Paenibacillaceae. The record is from Rfam.